GCCAGACUCCUACGGGAGGCAGCAGUGGGGAAUAUUGCACAAUGGGGGAAACCCUGAUGCAGCGACGCCGCGUGAGCGAUGAAGUAUUUCGGUAUGUAAAGCUCUAUCAGCAGGGAAGAAAAUGACGGUACCUGACUAAGAAGCCCCGGCUAACUACGUGCCAGCAGCCGCGGUAAUACGUAGGGGGCAAGCGUUAUCCGGAUUUACUGGGUGUAAAGGGAGCGUAGACGGUCCUGCAAGCCAGAUGUGAAAGCCCGGGGCUCAACCCCGGGACUGCUUUUGAAACUGUACAGCUUGAUUGCAGGAGAGGCAAGUGGAAUUCCUAGUGUAGCGGUGAAAUGCGUAGAUAUUAGGAGGAACACCAGUGGCGAAGGCGGCUUGCUGGACUGUAAAUGACGCUGAGGCUCGAAAGCGUGGGGAGCAAACAGGAUUAGAUACCCGGGUAUG
RNAcentral lists this ribosomal RNA (447 nucleotides) under uncultured bacterium. RNAcentral describes it as "bacterial SSU rRNA". It matches the Rfam family "Bacterial small subunit ribosomal RNA", at positions 330 to 793 of the family's 1533-position model. The record is from RNAcentral.